RNAcentral lists this ribosomal RNA (463 nucleotides) under uncultured bacterium. Its description in RNAcentral is "partial 16S ribosomal RNA". It matches the Rfam family "Bacterial small subunit ribosomal RNA", at positions 28 to 507 of the family's 1533-position model. The record is from RNAcentral.
GACGAACGCUGGCGGCGUGCUUAACACAUGCAAGUCGAACGGAAAGGCCUUUUCGGAGGUACUCGAGUGGCGAACGGGUGAGUAACACGUGGGUGAUCUGCCCUGCACUCUGGGAUAAGCCUGGGAAACUGGGUCUAAUACCGGAUAGGACCGCACUUUAGUGUGUGUGGUGGAAAGUUUUUUCGGUGUAGGAUGAGCCCGCGGCCUAUCAGCUUGUUGGUGGGGUAAUGGCCUACCAAGGCGGCGACGGGUAGCCGGACUGAGAGGUUGGUCGGCCACAUUGGGACUGCGAUACGGCCCGGACUCCUACGGGAGGCAGCAGUGGGGAAUAUUGCACAAUGGGCGCAAGCCUGAUGCAGCGACGCCGCGUGGGGGAUGACGGCCUUCGGGUUGUAAACUCCUUUCGCCAGGGACGAAGCGUUUUGUGACGGUACCUGGAGAAGAAGCACCGGCUAACUACGUG